CUACCGGGAGGCUGCAGUGAGGAAUAUUGCACAAUGGGGGGAACCCUGAUGCAGCAACGCCGCGUGGAGGAUGACGCAUUUCGGUGUGUAAACUCCUUUUAUAUGUCAAGAAAAUGACGGUAGCAUAUGAAUAAGCACCGGCUAACUCCGUGCCAGCAGCCGCGGUAAUACGGAGGGUGCAAGCGUUACUCGGAAUCACUGGGCGUAAAGGACGCGUAGGCGGGUUGGAAAGUCAGGUGUGAAAUCCUACAGCUUAACUGUAGAACUGCACUUGAAACUUCUAAUCUAGAGUAUGGGAGGGGGAGAUGGAAUUAGUGGUGUAGGGGUAAAAUCCGUAGAUAUCACUAGGAAUACCUAAAGCGAAGGCGAUCUCCUGGAACAUUACUGACGCUAAGGCGUGAAAGCGUGGGGAGCAAACAGGAUUAGAUACCCCAGUAGUC
Molecule: ribosomal RNA, 440 nt
Filed under: uncultured bacterium
Lineage: Bacteria
Description: partial 16S ribosomal RNA
Rfam family: Bacterial small subunit ribosomal RNA
Source: RNAcentral